GGGGGGGGGGGGGGGGGGGCGGGGGGCGGGGGGGGCGGGCGGGGGGGGCCGGCGGGUGGGGGGUGCGCGAGGGGCGAGCGGGUGAGUAGCACGUGAGUAACCUGCCCUUGACUGUGGGAUAACUGCAGGAAACUGGGGCUAAUACCGGAUAGGAGCUCCUGCUGCAUGGUGGGGGUUGGAAAGUUUCGGCGGUUGGGGAUGGACUCGCGGCUUAUCAGCUUGUUGGUGGGGUAGUGGCUUACCAAGGCUUUGACGGGUAGCCGGCCUGAGAGGGUGACCGGCCACAUUGGGACUGAGAUACGGCCCAGACUCCUACGGGAGGCAGCAGUGGGGAAUAUUGCACAAUGGGCGGAAGCCUGAUGCAGCAACGCCGCGUGCGGGAUGACGGCCUUCGGGUUGUAAACCGCUUUCGCCUGUGACGAAGCGUGAGUGACGGUAAUGGGUAAAGAAGCACCGGCUAACUACGUG
RNAcentral lists this ribosomal RNA (468 nucleotides) under uncultured bacterium. RNAcentral's name for it is "partial 16S ribosomal RNA". The stretch from base 48 to 468 matches the Rfam family "Bacterial small subunit ribosomal RNA", at positions 35 to 507 of the family's 1533-position model. The record is from RNAcentral.